Molecule: microRNA precursor, 59 nt
Filed under: Saccoglossus kowalevskii
Lineage: Eukaryota; Metazoa; Hemichordata; Enteropneusta; Harrimaniidae
Description: Sko-Mir-4818-P3_pre stem-loop
Source: RNAcentral
CUCCAUUAUUGUAUGCUAUUAGUGAUGAUACUGGUCUAAUUGCACGCAAUAGUGGGGUU